AGCGAACGCUGGCGGCAGGCCUAACACAUGCAAGUCGCACGAACCUUUCGGGGUUAGUGGCGGACGGGUGAGUAACGCGUAGGUAUCUAUCCAUGGGUGGGGGAUAACUCUGGGAAACUGGAGCUAAUACCGCAUGACACCUGAGGGUCAAAGGCGCGAGUCGCCUGUGGAGGAGCCUGCGUUCGAUUAGCUAGUUGGCGGGGUAAAGGCCCACCAAGGCGAUGAUCGAUAGCUGGUCUGAGAGGAUGAUCAGCCACACUGGGACUGAGACACGGCCCAGACUCCUACGGGAGGCAGCAGUGGGGAAUAUUGGACAAUGGGCGCAAGCCUGAUCCAGCAAUGCCGCGUGUGUGAAGAAGGUCUUCGGAUUGUAAAGCACUUUCGACGGGGACGAUGAUGACGGUACCCGUAGAAGAAGCCCCGGCUAACUUCGUGCCAGCCGCCGCCGUAA
This 451-nucleotide ribosomal RNA is filed under the name uncultured bacterium. Its description in RNAcentral is "partial 16S ribosomal RNA". It matches the Rfam family "Bacterial small subunit ribosomal RNA", at positions 29 to 523 of the family's 1533-position model. The record is from RNAcentral.